RNAcentral lists this ribosomal RNA (461 nucleotides) under uncultured bacterium. RNAcentral's name for it is "bacterial SSU rRNA". It matches the Rfam family "Bacterial small subunit ribosomal RNA", at positions 917 to 1382 of the family's 1533-position model. The record is from RNAcentral.
GGACCCGCACAAGCAGCGGAGCAUGUGGUUUAAUUCGAAGCAACGCGAAGAACCUUACCAGGGCUUGACAUCCUUCUGACCGGAACUUAACCGUUCCUUUCUUCGGACAGAAGUGACAGGUGGUGCAUGGUUGUCGUCAGCUCGUGUCGUGAGAUGUUGGGUUAAGUCCCGCAACGAGCGCAACCCUUGUCGUUAGUUACUAACAUUCAGUUGAGGACUCUAAUGAGACUGCCGUGGAUAACACGGAGGAAGGUGGGGAUGACGUCAAAUCAUCAUGCCCCUUAUGUCCUGGGCUACACACGUGCUACAAUGGUCGGUACAAAGAGACGCGAGACAGCGAUGUGGAGCAAAUCUCAAAAGCCGAUCCCAGUUCGGAUUGCAGGCUGCAACUCGCCUGCAUGAAGUCGGAGUUGCUAGUAAUCGUGGAUCAGAAUGCCACGGUGAAUGCGUUCCCGGGUCUU